Brienomyrus brachyistius is the source of this 628-nucleotide long non-coding RNA. RefSeq lists it as uncharacterized. The record is from RefSeq and is a predicted model, not a curated record. NCBI's taxonomy places the organism in Eukaryota, Metazoa, Chordata, Actinopteri, Osteoglossiformes, Mormyridae. The transcript has 3 exons.
AAAUCGCCAGCCAUCAUUCAAGCAUGGGCCCUCACCCUCUGUGCUUAAAUUACAUUCUGACCACAACAAGCUAGCUCUCCUGUGGAUCGAGCAGACAGGCUACCCCAAGCUCCCCAUGGACACCAAUGAGCCUUGAGCACCCAUGACCCAAUCGCCGGUUCACCAGUUGGUCUUCUUCGGACCACUUUUGUGAGUGAAAAUCCCAGGCGGCCUGCUGUUUCCGAGAGGCUAGAAGCACGUCUGGCACAAACAGUCACACCAUUGCAUGUCGAAGCCACACCGUAAGUGAACCUGGUGACCCUGUCUGUAUGAUUCUCUAUGUAUUCAGUCGUCGCUGUCUGAUUGGCUGCUUAGAGGAGCAGGCUGUUUGCAUCAACCGGCAGGGGUACUGAAUAAAUGUGCUGUAUAUAUGCACACACAGUCUUUAAAUAGAAGAUAACUACUCUUCUGAAAAUUUAUGAGCAUGAACUAUAACGGUGGACCUUAGAUGCCUUGUUAGUGUUGUAGUGAUUCAGUAGCUUUAAAAAGCACCUAUUAUAGACCAGUCCUGUGGGAGAGGAUUGGGGGGAGGGCUUUUUAGAUAAAACAUACAUGCAUACUGAGCUGUUUUGAGCCUGGGUGAGUGAGA